RNAcentral lists this ribosomal RNA (2588 nucleotides) under Enterococcus faecium. RNAcentral's name for it is "bacterial LSU rRNA". It matches the Rfam family "Bacterial large subunit ribosomal RNA", at positions 1 to 2601 of the family's 2925-position model. Lineage: Bacteria; Bacillati; Bacillota; Bacilli; Lactobacillales; Enterococcaceae. The record is from RNAcentral.
UUAAGUGAAUAAGGGCGCACGGUGGAUGCCUUGGCACUAGGAGCCGAUGAAGGACGGGACUAACACCGAUAUGCUUUGGGGAGCUGUACGUAAGCUAUGAUCCAGAGAUUUCCGAAUGGGGGAACCCAACAUCUUUAAUAGGAUGUUACGAUUGUGUGAAUACAUAGCACAUUCGAGGUAGACGCAGAGAACUGAAACAUCUAAGUACCUGCAGGAAGAGAAAGAAAAUUCGAUUCCCUGAGUAGCGGCGAGCGAAACGGGAAAAGCCCAAACCAGCAAGCUUGCUUGUUGGGGUUGUAGGACUCCAAUAUGGUAGUUCUUUCAGAUAGUCGAAUGACUUGGAAAAGUCAGUCAAAGAGGGUAAAAACCCCGUAGACGAAAUGUGGAAGACACCUAGGAGGAUCCUGAGUACGGCGGAACACGAGAAAUUCCGUCGGAAUCCGGGAGGACCAUCUCCCAAGGCUAAAUACUCCCUAGUGACCGAUAGUGAACCAGUACCGUGAGGGAAAGGUGAAAAGCACCCCGGAAGGGGAGUGAAAUAGAACCUGAAACCGUGUGCCUACAACAAGUCAAAGCCCGUUAAUGGGUGAUGGCGUGCCUUUUGUAGAAUGAACCGGCGAGUUACGAUUGCAUGCGAGGUUAAGUUGAAGAGACGGAGCCGCAGCGAAAGCGAGUCUGAAUAGGGCGUUUGAGUAUGUAGUCGUAGACCCGAAACCAUGUGAUCUACCCAUGUCCAGGUUGAAGGUGCGGUAAAACGCACUGGAGGACCGAACCCACGUACGUUGAAAAGUGCGGGGAUGAGGUGUGGGUAGCGGAGAAAUUCCAAACGAACUUGGAGAUAGCUGGUUCUCUCCGAAAUAGCUUUAGGGCUAGCCUCGGAAUUGAGAAUGAUGGAGGUAGAGCACUGUUUGGACUAGGGGCCCAUCUCGGGUUACCGAAUUCAGAUAAACUCCGAAUGCCAUUCAUUCAUAUCCGGGAGUCAGACUGUGAGUGAUAAGAUCCAUAGUCGAAAGGGAAACAGCCCAGACCACCAGCUAAGGUCCCAAAAUAUAUGUUAAGUGGAAAAGGAUGUGGGGUUGCACAGACAACUAGGAUGUUGGCUUAGAAGCAGCCACCAUUUAAAGAGUGCGUAAUAGCUCACUAGUCGAGUGACCCUGCGCCGAAAAUGUACCGGGGCUAAACAUAUUACCGAAGCUGUGGAGUACACCUUUAGGUGUAUUGGUAGGAGAGCGUUCUAAGGGCGUCGAAGGCAGAUCGUGAGGACUGCUGGAGCGCUUAGAAGUGAGAAUGCCGGUAUGAGUAGCGAAAGACAGGUGAGAAUCCUGUCCACCGAAUGACUAAGGUUUCCUGGGGAAGGCUCGUCCGCCCAGGGUUAGUCGGGACCUAAGCCGAGGCCGACAGGCGUAGGCGAUGGAUAACAGGUUGAUAUUCCUGUACCCGUUGUUUUUGUUUGAGCAAUGGAGGGACGCAGGAGGCUAAGGAAUGCAGACGAUCGGAAAUGUCUGUCCAAGCAGUAAGUCUGAAGAGGAGUCAAAUGCUUCUUUUCUUAGGGACAAGCUGUGAUGGGGAGGGAAAUAAUAGUACCGAAGUUCCUGAUGUCACACUGCCGAGAAAAGCUUCUAGUGAGAAAACAGCGGCCCGUACCGCAAACCGACACAGGUAGUCGAGGAGAGAAUCCUAAGGUGAGCGAGAGAACUCUCGUUAAGGAACUCGGCAAAAUGACCCCGUAACUUCGGGAGAAGGGGUGCUGAUCAUACGAUCAGCCGCAGUGAAUAGGCCCAAGCGACUGUUUAUCAAAAACACAGGUCUCUGCAAAAUCGUAAGAUGAAGUAUAGGGGCUGACGCCUGCCCGGUGCUGGAAGGUUAAGAGGAGUGCUUAGCGCAAGCGAAGGUACGAAUUGAAGCCCCAGUAAACGGCGGCCGUAACUAUAACGGUCCUAAGGUAGCGAAAUUCCUUGUCGGGUAAGUUCCGACCCGCACGAAAGGCGUAACGAUUUGGGCACUGUCUCAACGAGAGACUCGGUGAAAUUUUAGUACCUGUGAAGAUGCAGGUUACCCGCGACAGGACGGAAAGACCCCAUGGAGCUUUACUGUAGUUUGAUAUUGAGUGUCUGUACCGCAUGUACAGGAUAGGGAGGAGCCGUAGAAAUCGGAACGCUAGUUUCGAUGGAGGCGCUGGUGGGAUACUACCCCUGCGUUAUGGCCACUCUAACCCGCACCACUAAUCGUGGUGGGAGACAGUGUCAGAUGGGCAGUUUGACUGGGGCGGUCGCCUCCUAAAAGGUAACGGAGGCGCCCAAAGGUUCCCUCAGAAUGGUUGGAAAUCAUUCGAAGAGUGUAAAGGCAGAAGGGAGCUUGACUGCGAGACCAACAAGUCGAGCAGGGACGAAAGUCGGGCUUAGUGAUCCGGUGGUUCCGCAUGGAAGGGCCAUCGCUCAACGGAUAAAAGCUACCCUGGGGAUAACAGGCUUAUCUCCCCCAAGAGUCCACAUCGACGGGGAGGUUUGGCACCUCGAUGUCGGCUCGUCGCAUCCUGGGGCUGUAGUCGGUCCCAAGGGUUGGGCUGUUCGCCCAUUAAAGCGGCACGC